CUAGAGGAAAUCACAGAAAAAUAAGUAAGUAAAUAAACUUAACAAUACAAAUUGGAAGGAACAUUAUAGUCAAGAUUAUUUUGUACAUAAUUUUAGAUCUUAAAACAAAAGGCAAUGUAAUACUAGUCUUAUCUUAGCUUCAGUAAGUACCAUUUGCAAUUACAAAGGUUAUUCCAAGUCAAGGUGAGAAUGCCAAAAGAAUACUUCCUUUCAAAAAAGUGGCUUUCAUCUAAUCUAUGAACUUAUUUUUAAGGCUUGCCUUAUGUUUAUCAAAUCCUCUUUUUUCAGCAUCGCAUCAUAUUUGAGCAACUCACCUUUUUCUACACAUCCUGUUAGUCAUAUCUUAUUCUUCUAAUCUAAGUCACUACCAUAACAAUCUACACAAGCAAAUCACAAUUUCAAACCAUGAAGGAAAGAAUUCCAGCAGCCUUGAUAGCCUUUUCUUUCU
This 448-nucleotide long non-coding RNA is filed under the name Physcomitrium patens. RNAcentral describes it as "long non-coding RNA (PPAT_LNC004340)". The record is from RNAcentral. Lineage: Eukaryota; Viridiplantae; Streptophyta; Bryopsida; Funariales; Funariaceae.